Lolium rigidum is the source of this 2037-nucleotide long non-coding RNA. RefSeq lists it as uncharacterized. NCBI's taxonomy places the organism in Eukaryota, Viridiplantae, Streptophyta, Magnoliopsida, Poales, Poaceae. The transcript has 11 exons. The record is from RefSeq and is a predicted model, not a curated record.
GACCACCUCCCUGACCUUCUCCCCACGCCGGCAACAUACCUGGACGGAAGGAAAUGCUGCUUCUGACGCCAUCCGGCUUCCUCUCCGCCCCGGCCCCGGCCCCGCCAGGGCGAAUACCCUAGCUACCUUUGUAUGGUGGUACAGACCAAUGCGGCACCGAUGGCGAGGAACCGCAGCUCCAAGUUCAGGACUACGCCGGAGACAAGAACGACUCGUAGUAAGGUUCAGAUCAUACCGGGGUUGAAUAGCACCAAGCUGAUCGUACCAGGAGGCGGGUGUUGGAGGGUGGACCAGGACUUCACUUGUGCUUUCAGAAUUUCUUGUGGCCACUUUCCCUUACUAUUGCAGCGUGCCUUGGAGGUGCACAAUAGGUGGGUUCAGGAUGACUUCCUUCACUAGGACGCACCUGGGGACAAGAAGGACCCCAGUGCCUCAUGCCUGCCUUUUACCUUGUAAACAGCACACAAGAUUUUCUUGCUGCCACUUAUCCUGAAUGUGGAUGGUGCCUUGGAGCUGGAAAAUGAGUGGCUGGGCUGCUGCUACUGCUGCUUAAGCUCUCAUACGACGGACUUAGACUGCUGACCGCCGGCACAUGGUGAAAGUUCAUGAUUGGGUCCAGUUGUCUGGUAGACCCCAAUGUCGGCGGCAGCAUUGAUGGCGCCAUGCAUGAAGGCUCAGUAGGGUGCCUGGGUACAUGAUGGUGACUUCCUCCUCCACUAGAACGCAUGCCGCCGCCUGGGAUAAGAACGAACCACUAGUGAGAAGUCCUGAGCAUGGAGGGGCUAUAGCUGGGCGAAGGGAGCAACGUCGCUUUCUUGAGGCUGGAUUUGGUUGAGUGUGACCUGAAGAAUAAGGGCAAGUCUGGCAUUGUGGCGGCCAAGUGCUUACCUGCGCUUAAACACAAUGAUGAGAUUACAGGAGCACCACCAAGGGAGUAGUCUUGAGUGUGGAGCAGCUGGAGCUGGGCGAAGGGAUCCUCAUUGCUGGUUCGUGGCUGCUGUUGGUUGAAUACGACCUGGAGGAGUAGGGCUAGUUGGGCAUUGUGGCAGCCAAGUACUCAUGGCUGCUUAGGUAAAUGAAGCACCAUAGAACACACCACCGGUCUCCUGCGCUGACGACGUUGUCGUUAAUGGGCGUUGGAUUCAGACAAUGCAUGUCCACGCAGCUUGGAGCUGCUGCCGGCGUCUUCCACCGGGGGAUCCGGCAUUGCUGUUGGGCUGGCUGUGGCCCACCACGCUUCGUGUGCGGUGGUAGGCUUGGCUGGCUCUGGGCUUCACUAAGCUCGUCAUUGUGUUGCUACUACGGUGGCGGUGUUGUCUUGGCCUUGGGUACACCCCUCUCCGGGAAUAGUCCUGAGGAUGGAGCGGCCGUCGCUAGCAAAUAGUGCAGUGCCGCUGUCUUGAGGCUGGACUUGCUAGAGUGUGACCUGGAGAAUCAGGGCGAGUCAGGCAUUGUGGUGGGCUGGUGGCCAAGUGCGCUUAAAUACUAUGCUGAGCUUACGACAUCACCACCAAGGGAGUAGUCCCAAGCAUGGAGCAACCGCAGAUGGGCCAAGGGAGCAACGUUGCUGGUUCUAGGCUGUUGUUGGUUGAGAGCGUCCUGGCCCCUGGGGAAGAAGUGCAGAAGUCUGAUAGGCUUCAAGAGAUAGGGAAAACUGCUUUAAGAAAGACUUACUCAGUGAAUCGGUGGAUCACACACUUGGAGACAGGGACAAAUUUCCGAACUAAGCAUAGGCAGGCCACGAAGGGUGGUCAAUAAUCCAUUUAGGUGACUCAUCGAACCCCAAUUGGACCGCUCGCAUCGCUCCUUGACACGAAGGCUUGCUUCCCUCUUGGAGCCAUACCAUAGGUAGGACUUGAUGAUCUCGCAGGUGCAGGGGUCCUUCACUCCACAUAGGUCAAGAUGCGAAAAAGAAUUAUCUUAGCAAUGCGAGAAGGUGUCAAGCUUGAUGGGUCAGUUUUCAGUUGUCCAAAACCCGAAAGGAAUAGAUAAUAAAAUUGCAGAGCUCCCCUUUCUUGUUCUUGGUGGCGUCUAUAG